Molecule: ribosomal RNA, 253 nt
Filed under: uncultured bacterium
Lineage: Bacteria
Description: partial 16S ribosomal RNA
Rfam family: Bacterial small subunit ribosomal RNA
Source: RNAcentral
UACAGAGGUCUCGAGCGUUGUUCGGAUUCAUUGGGCGUAAAGGGUGCGUAGGUGGCGCUGUAAGUCGGGUGUGAAAUCCUGAGGCUUAACCUCGGAACUGCAUUCGAUACUGCGGCGCUGGAGUACUGCAGGGGAGACUGGAAUUCCUGGUGUAGCGGUGAAAUGCGUAGAUAUCAGGAGGAAUACCGGUGGCGAAAGCGACUCUCUGGACGGCAACUGACGCUGAGGCACGAAAGCGUGGGGAGCAAACAGG